Nerophis ophidion (straightnose pipefish) is the source of this 1065-nucleotide long non-coding RNA. RefSeq lists it as uncharacterized. The record is from RefSeq and is a predicted model, not a curated record. The transcript has 3 exons. Lineage: Eukaryota; Metazoa; Chordata; Actinopteri; Syngnathiformes; Syngnathidae.
CGGCGAUACUCAGCGUCUCCACCAUCCCUGGAGCCCCGGGGUCAGCACCAUGGACACGCGCACACGCGCUCAAAUCUCCCACGCGUGGAUCACAGAGAAGUUCCGAGUCCGGGCCGAGGGCGGGAACGAGUCGUGGCGUGUGACGGCAUCCUGUGGAGUGAAAAGGAGAGACUUUAAUUGUCACUGCCGAUGCGCGGAAAGUCCACCCCGGCGGAUCUGACCUUGGCGGGAGUCCCGCGUGUCUUCAUGGCUUCUUCUUCAUCGUCGUGCGUCUCCAUCACGCGCCCCACGUGAUCUAAUGAUCUCUCCCAUCGACCAUCAACAGAUGCCUUCCGGUUUGAAGGUAAUCCACGCAGGAGCUCGGCCGUUGGGUUUGUGUAAUGGCAUCCUAUCGACGAUCACCGUGCGUCUGCGGAUGGGAAGACACCAGCCUCUCUCUCUCUCUCUCUCUCUCUUUCUCUCUCUCUUUCUCGCUCUCUCUCUCUCUUUCUCUCUCGUACCCCCGCGUGAUCACGUGAUGCAGCGUGGAGGUGCAGGACUCCACAUCAUCUCGCUGAAGGAUACGAUUUAUUAGCAGAGAGGGUCCAAGUGCUUCAAAGUAAAGGCUCAGCAAUGGAACACAGCAGGAGUCUUUGUUGAGAACCCGUUAUCAGUCUGCUGAGCUGGAAGACAGAAACCAAUCUUCACCGGGAGCAGAAUAGAAAACCUUAACUCUGAAAUCAUGCCCGCUAACAGCCAAGGACUUCAAGGACCUCAACGAAGAUAAGACGACAGCACGCAGACGACGCAGAGACAAGGCCCCAGCACAUUCCGUCACAUAUUUUGCGUACUGUAGCUGCUUGGCAUAAUAUAUGUGACCAUUCCUUUUAGAGGCGGCCUCAGUGAUGUUGACUGUGGAACUCCUGAGUAAAUAGAGGAAUUUAGCUACUCAUGAGCUAAAUUGAACUCUGUCUCUGCAUGCUUCCUUGCUUCUUGUCUGUUUAAUAGAUGUCAUCAGUGUUUGAACCUGACAAUCAACCCAAUACACAAAAACAAAUUUUGUAAUAUGAGAAAUGACUGUCAGAA